AUUGAACGCUGGCGGCAGGCCUAACACAUGCAAGUCGAGCGAGCGGCGGACGGGUGAGUAAUGUAUGGGAAUCUGCCUGAUGGCGGGGGAUAACUACUGGAAACGGUAGCUAAUACCGCAUACCAUCAGAUGACCCCAUAUGGGAUUAGCUAGUAGGUGAGGUAACGGCUCACCUAGGCGACGAUCCCUAGCUGGUCUGAGAGGAGGAUCGGCCACACGGGGACUGAUACACGGCCCAGAGUCCUACGGGAGGCAGCAGUGGGGAAUAUUGCAAAAUGGGCGCAAGCCUGAUGCAGCCAUGCCGCGUGUAUGAAGAAGGCCUUCGGGUUGUAAAGUACUUUCAGCCGGGAGGCGUUACCGACAGAAGAAGCACCGGCUAACUCCGUGCCAGCAGCCGCGGUAAUAC
Molecule: ribosomal RNA, 406 nt
Filed under: uncultured bacterium
Lineage: Bacteria
Description: partial 16S ribosomal RNA
Rfam family: Bacterial small subunit ribosomal RNA
Source: RNAcentral